Long non-coding RNA from Pectinophora gossypiella (pink bollworm), 1665 nucleotides. RefSeq lists it as uncharacterized. The transcript has 2 exons. NCBI's taxonomy places the organism in Eukaryota, Metazoa, Arthropoda, Insecta, Lepidoptera, Gelechiidae. The record is from RefSeq and is a predicted model, not a curated record.
UUUCAAAAUACAGCCAAAAAUAAACUUUAUAUUUACUAAGGUAUGCAUGCAUGCUAGAUUGAAUCAAUUGAUUGAAUUGAUUUUUUUUUAAUUGAUUGUUCAUUGAGUUUUAAUUUUAAUACACACUUCCUCUCUUCCCUUCAACGUUGCUGUGCCCUACAGGGUCCAUGUUUUAGUUCCUAUGCCUAUGUAACACCCCAUUGUACUACAUGGAAUGCAAUAAAUAAUUUAAUUGAAUUGAAUUGAAAACAUCUAUCUUACGCGGUUUCGAUUUUUUCAUACAAAUGUUUUUUUUCCCGCUAACUCCCGUUUCCGUGGGAAUUUUGCAAUAUCCUGUUGCAACUAAGGUUUAAGUUAACUAAGGUACCUGCAUGCCAAAUUUCAAGCGUCUAACUUAAGCGGUUUAGAUUUUUCAUACAAAAGGAUUUUCCCGCUAAUUCCCGUUCCCGUGGGAAUUUCGGGAAUUCCUUUCUUAGUACACCUCUACGGUGUCUAAGGUACCUGCGUGCCAAAUUUUAAACAUCUUACUUGAAUGGUUUAGAUUUUUCAUACAAAAGGAUUUUCCCGUUAAUUCCCGUUCCCGUGGGAAUUUCGGGAAUUCCUUUCUUAGUGCACCUCCACGGUACCUAAGGUACUUGCAUGACAAAUUUCAAACGUCUAACUUGAAUGGUUUAGAUUUUUCAUACAAAAGGAUUUUCCCGCUAAUUCCCGUUCCCGUGGGAAUUUCGGGAAUUCCUUUCUUAGUGCACCUCCACGGUACCUAAGGUAUCUGCAUGCUAAAUUUCAAAUGUCUAACUUGAGUGGUUUAGAUUUUUCAUACAAAAGGUAUUUCCCGCUAAUUCCCGUUCCCGUGAGAAUUUUGGGAAUUCCUUUCUUAGUGCACCUCUACGGUACCUAUGGUACCUGCAUGCCAAAUUUCAAACGUCUAACUUGAGUGGUUUAGAUUUUUCAUUCAAAAGGAUUUUCCCGCUAAUUCCCGUUCCCGUGGGAAUUUCGGGAAUUCCUUUCUUAGUACACCUCUACGGUAUCUAAGGUACCUGCAUGACAAAUUUCAAACAUCUAACUUGAAUGGUUUAGAUUUUUCAUACAAAAAUAUUUUUCCGCUAAUUCCCGUUCCCGUGGGAAUUUCGGGAAUUCCUUUCUUAGUGCACCUCUACGUUAUCUAAGGUACCUGCAUGCCAAAUUUCAAAAGUCUAACUUGAGUGGUUUAGAUUUUUCAUACAAAAGGAUUUUCCCGCUAAUUCCCGUUCCCGUAGGAAUUUCGGGAAUUCCUUUCUUAGUGCACCUCUACGGUAUCUAAGGUACCUGCAUGCCAAAUUUCAAACGUCUAACUUGAGUGGUUUAGAUUUUUCAUACAAAAGGAUUUCCCUUCACUACUCUGCUCCUAUUGAUUGUAGCGUGAUGAAAAGUAUACUAUGACCUGUCCAGGAGUGUGAAGAAUAAUUGUACCAAGUUUCAUUAAAAUCCGUCCAGUAGUUUUUGUUUCUAUAAGGAACAUACAGACAGACAGACAGACAGACAGACAGACAGACAGACAGACAAAAAUUUUACUGAUUGCAUUUUUGGCAUCAGUAUCGAUCACUUAUCACCCCCUGAUAGUUAUUUUGAAAAAAUAUUUAAUGUACAGAAUUGACCUCUCUACAGAUUUAUUAUAAGUAUAGAUGA